GGGGAAUAUUGCGCAAUGGGGGAAACCCUGACGCAGCGACGCCGCGUGAAGGAAGAAGGCCUUCGGGUUGUAAACUUCUUUGAUCGGGGAAGAAAAUGACGGUACCCGAGGAACAAGCCACGGCUAACUACGUGCCAGCAGCCGCGGUAAUACGUAGGUGGCGAGCGUUGUCCGGAAUUACUGGGUGUAAAGGGCGUGUAGGCGGGGCGUCAAGUCAGGUGUGAAAUUCCGAGGCUUAACUUCGGGUGUGCACCUGAAACUGAUGUUCUUGAGUGUCGGAGAGGAAAGUGGAAUUCCCAGUGUAGCGGUGAAAUGCGUAGAGAUUGGGAGGAACACCAGUGGCGAAGGCGGCUUUCUGGACGACAACUGACGCUGAGGCGCGAAAGCGUGGGUAGCAAAC
RNAcentral lists this ribosomal RNA (400 nucleotides) under uncultured bacterium. Its description in RNAcentral is "bacterial SSU rRNA". It matches the Rfam family "Bacterial small subunit ribosomal RNA", at positions 356 to 773 of the family's 1533-position model. The record is from RNAcentral.